UUUUGUUUGGUCCCGUGGAAGUUUAUAGUUCUACCUCCACUAUCCCACCUCCUCCUGCCUUGGAAAAAUCACAGAUGAAUCAAUCUAAUUUCCGUGGUCUAUUGACAUCAUUCCUCCAGUUACCAGUCAUUUGUGAAUGAACCAAUGCCACAACAACACGAGUUAUAACACAAAAGGUUGCACCUCACAGGAUGGCUGAGCCUAGAACACAAACCCCGUGAAGCUGGCAGAAAGAUCUGGCGGGGGCAGUAGUCUUGGGUUGGUUCCAGCCAGGAAAGAUAACCUGAUCUUCAAGCAACCAUAUGUGGUGGAAAUGAGAGAACUAAAAAGUGAUGGGGAUUAUGGGAUACAGUGGGAUAUUGGUUUCCUAUAGGCAACCUGGUUUAAUGUAUUACAUUGUUUUGUGUGGAUUAUAGAAUUUUCAUAACCUCAUGUUAAAAUCCUUACAUGGGAUGGAAUGCCCAGUGUGCAGCCCUUGUGCGGGAUAGGACCACAGUCUGGACAAACCUAGGCUGGUCUGGCAUGAGAGUUAUAGAGCACAUGGGGAAGUGAGAGUGAGGGAAUUGGUAAAGGCAUUAUUUAACCUGGGCAGGAGGAGGGGAGAGGUGCUGGGCAGGUCAAUCAUCCUGAUGGGUAAUGCACUGUCAUAAGUGACACGGUGAAUGAUCUGGGCUACAGAAGGAAAAAAAUGAAAAACCCAAACCCACUUGCAAAAGAGGUUUGACUCUCAAGACCUAAACCAGCAAAAGUGCAAAUGGCAGGUAAGGAAUAAAAUGGGUAUUUUAGAUCAUAGAUGGUGAGCAGAGACCAGCUCCUGACAUGGAGCAGAGACGAUGCACGAUACAUUCUUUGGAGCAAAAGACAACAUUCUAUGGGACAUUGUGGGCAUGAGCCACCUUUAGAAAACACAAUAAUGCUUUUUUUUUUUCUUUUUCAAAAGCAAACAAACACACAAAAACUAUUUGACUAACUUGAUUUUUUUUUGAAAAAGGAUUUCAGAUUUCUGAAAUUUUUGUUGUUUGCCUCUCAGAACAAAAUGAUGCAAUUUAUAAGAAGAAAAUAGCAGGCCCAAAUUCGAGCCUUCUGGACAAUCGUCCUUGGACCUGGUCAUUGAGCCCAAGCUGAUUGUUUAAUCACUUCGGGGCUGCCAGAGACUUCCCACUCUUUCCAAAUUGCCGUACUUUCCCUUUGUCAGAUCAGAUAACUGUGUUAUUUGGCUGUUCAUUAAAAUUUGCCUUACCUACUUGAAACAUAUUUUUCCAUCUAUGUUUCUGUUCCCAUACAAACUCGAACCACUUAAAUUUCCUCUACUUUUGCAAAAUUUUAUUUCAAAGUUGGAAAGUUUUGAUUUUUUAAGCUUUUGCUUCCGUGCACCACUUUCCCAUUUUUGCAUUUGCUAUUUUAAUCACAAACGCUGCCCCUGUUUGAUUUGGCUGUCAACUUCUGGCUGACAUUUUCUUCUCAUCUUUCUCUUCUUCUAGAUCAACUUUUGCUUUGCAUGCAGCUCUUUGGUUUCCCUCCCCGAACUCUCAGAACAUCUUAUUUUUCAGUGUACGUCUGUUUCAUUCACUCUCUGCCAUGAUAUAUAAACAGAUACUUGACCAAAUGUCCAAAAAAGUACAGAUUAUUGCUACCAAUGCAACAGAAUCAUGGGGGCAGUGUGUCAGUUCAAGGAAGGAAGAGGGUUUUGAGGACAGUCUGAAAGGAGCUUCCAUACAAAACUUCUAUACCACUUAAUGUGAGCCUGGAAGGAUGGGAGGUUGGCUGGAAGGAUGUUAGGGUAAAGUCAAAAACUGUGGUCAAAAAAUUAAUCAAGAUUCACAUCCCCAGUGAUGUCAUGUGGAUAUCAUGCACCCCCUGAUAUGAUGUGAUGAAAGAGGCACUUCACCUCCGUGGUUGUCUUCCCCCAAACCCAUAACCCUAGGCCAACCAUGAGAAAAUCUCAUACAAACCCAUUUUGAGGGGCCUCCUUCAACAUGCCUAACCAUAUUCCUCAAAACUGUCAAGGGCAGGAAAAACAGAAAAGACAGAGAAAAUGUCACAGACCAGAGGAGGCUAAGGGGCACGGGGACCUAAUGUGAUGUAGGAUGCUGGAGCGGAUCCUGGAACAGAAAAAGGACAGUAGUGGAAGAGCUGGUGAUCCAAAUAAAGUCUAGAGAUUAGGUAACGGGGACAUUGCAACAUUGGCUUCUUAGUGCUGACAAAUGUGCCCUGGCAAUGGGUGAGCGACGUGUUGGUAUCAUGCAGAACUGGAACUGCCUAUGCCGUGCACAGGAGCCCUCUCUGCGGUCACUGCACCUUUAUUGUAAGUCUACAACUGGUCCAAACAAAAAACUUUAUUUAAAAACCCAAUCCAAACCAGAAGUCAUUCUCAAACUCCUUGCACUUGAGCUUGAACCACUGGCUCUUUUUUUUUUUUUUUUUUUUUUAAAUCUUUUCUUUGCCCCAUCUCCUAUAAUGAUUUGCAUACUUUGUAGGAUGGAUAUAUGGACCUCAGUGUUUAUGCUUCCCAAACUGGUUAAUUAACUUAGGAAGUCCUUUUCUCUUUCACUGAUUCUCCUGCAUACACCAACAGCAGUGCCCAUCCUCACCUUUGAUCAUCUCAGCUGCCAUAACCCUGCAU
Molecule: long non-coding RNA, 2623 nt
Filed under: Canis lupus familiaris (dog)
Lineage: Eukaryota; Metazoa; Chordata; Mammalia; Carnivora; Canidae
Description: lncRNA (ENSCAFG00000059369.1)
Source: RNAcentral